Molecule: long non-coding RNA, 638 nt
Organism: Aethina tumida (small hive beetle)
Lineage: Eukaryota; Metazoa; Arthropoda; Insecta; Coleoptera; Nitidulidae
Exons: 3
Source: RefSeq, a predicted model, not a curated record
GCCGGUCAUUCGGCUCCCAUCGACACCGACCGAUUGUGACUCAUGAAGAAAUUUGAAGCAAACAGUUCUUCAACGGCGCUGCUAGUGGCCAAUCCUGCUGGGCAGUGCGCUCUCCAAGCGAGUCGAGGUUCUACGACGCUGCGGUUCCUCCGACGGGGGACCGCAGCGCGUACGUCGACCCAUCCUGCACACCUGGUCAAGAAAUCAGCCCCUGUUCCGGUCCGGGUCACCCCAUCCGCCUGGGACUUGGCACACUCUACGGCCUGAUUCAGGAACCAUCCCCGGAUUGAAGCGGCGACGCCGUAGGGUUGAAACGCACCACCUGAGGGGGUGAUAAUCGAACAGGUGCGACGCGGAGGCUCUCCCCACCCAACGUCUCGACAACAACUCGGUCAGCGCCUAACGUCGAUGUCGAAAAUCACGAGCGGACGGAAUCAAAGAUAUCAUUUGGGAGAGUCGAGCAAAAAUUACUAGUCAUUAUGUUAUUAUUGAUUUUAUAGAAUUAAGACUGUAUAUUCCACUUAAAUUAGCUUUAUAUAGUAAUUACUGCAGUUAUUUCAUUAUUUCCAAGUGCCAAUCAGCUUAUAUUUUAAGAGUGUAUGUAGACGGUAAAUAAAAAUAAAGUUUUCGGACUUUUA